Molecule: long non-coding RNA, 1356 nt
Organism: Beta vulgaris subsp. vulgaris (sugar beet)
Lineage: Eukaryota; Viridiplantae; Streptophyta; Magnoliopsida; Caryophyllales; Amaranthaceae
Exons: 2
Source: RefSeq, a predicted model, not a curated record
CCAAAUUAGUGUCUUUAAUAAAAGAAAGAAAAUCAACCCAUCAUCUUUACUUUUUCUCUCGUGGCUUCAUCUAAAGGUGCCACAUUAUUUGUUUUAUUUUCAAUAAAAUAAAAGGAACCCAAAUCCAACCGAAUUUCUCUGUUUCAUCAUCUCUCUCACUCAAAUUAUUGAUGCCGGUGGCUUGAAUAACCACCGCUGCUGCCCCAUGAUUUUCUCUCUCCUUUGCUCUGUUCUGUCCGUCCAUUUCAAGCAACAUGCACUCAUUUUUUAGUCUUUAUUCCUUCACCAAAGUUGUAGAUCUCUUCGAGUUAUUGAAUUUAGGCUCAAAAAUUUCUUCAAUUGGAGUUCGGAGCUAUGAGCUAUGGGAUUUGCAAGUUUGGUGUUGCUGUUGCACAUACUUCUUGAUGCGUUGCUGCUGCUAUCUGUUCCUUCUUGAUGUAGUGUAGUUGCGUCUGUGUCUGAGUGUUGUGUAGUUGUUGUUGGUGCUUGCAAUCAUCAUUGUCUUCAUCUUUUGUGGAGGUAUAACUUAAGCUAUCUUCCUCCUCUUCUUUAAUUCUAAGAUUCGAAUCCUGGAUGUAAAUGAAUUUUAUUUUCUGAUUUCACAAAUAGAUUCAGUUCUCAAAAUUUUUAUUAUUUGCAAAAUCAGCUAUGAUAAGAGUUUAUAAAAAUUAUAGAUUGAAUCUUUCCUCUGUAUCGAAUGAAUUGAAGGUUACAAUAUGCAUGUCUUGAUUUUCUUUAGAGUUAGUUAAAAAAGCUGAUUUUUUAAUUGAUUAUUUUGUUCUGAAUAUUCUCUAUGAAUCGGUUUUGAGGUUAAUUAGAGUUACAAUGUAAGAUUGAUGAUGUGAGUUCAAUUAGUAGUAUGGUUAGCAUAUAAGGGGUUUAUGGGUAGUUCAUGAAGUGCUAAGAAGUUGUGAGUUAAAUUAGUAGUAUGGUUCUUUAUCUAAGUUGCAGUAAGGAUGUUGAUUGUUUUCAUUGUUGUGAGGUGAAUUUUGGAGAAUGCUUUGGAGACGCGUACGAUUCAAGCUAAGAUGGAGACUAAUUUUAAGAUACUUGGAGGUUUAUUAAUAGAGGAUCAUAUUGUGUGCGAGGCCUUGAGUUGGAAGCUCAGAGUGGAUCAAAGCCAGAAUUUUGUUGUUGAGUAGUAAAUAGAUUAGUGAUUCAGAAUUUGUAAGAAGUAUUCAAGUGCUUUAUGAAUAAAAUAUUAUACUGUUUUGGGAACCGAGUAAGGUAUUAUGUAAUAUAUUAUUUGGAUUUAAAGAUGAUUUGUUGUGGGCCCAUGACCGACAGGUCUAGGAUCGUUUUCUGGGUUCUGACUCCGCUACGAGUGAAUAUAAUUCAAGGUUAUUAAGUGAUAAA